Molecule: ribosomal RNA, 425 nt
Filed under: uncultured bacterium
Lineage: Bacteria
Description: partial 16S ribosomal RNA
Rfam family: Bacterial small subunit ribosomal RNA
Source: RNAcentral
GUGGGGAAUAUUGGGCAAUGGGCGAAAGUCUGACCCAGCAACGCCGCGUGAAGGAAGAAGGUCUUCGGAUCGUAAACUUCUAUCCUUGGUGAAGAUAAUGACGGUAGCCGAGAAGGAAGCCCCGGCUAACUACGGGCCAGCAGCCGCGGUAAUACGUAGGGGGCAAGCGUUGUCCGGAAUGAUUGGGCGUAAAGGGCGCGUAGGCGGCCUGGUAAGUCUGGAGUGAAAGUCCUGCUUUUAAGGUGGGAAUUGCUUUGGAUACUGUCGGGCUUGAGUGCAGGAGAGGUAAGUGGAAUUCCCGGUGUAGCGGUGAAAUGCGUAGAGAUCGGGAGGAACACCAGUGGCGAAGGCGACUUACUGGACUGUAACUGACGCUGAGGCGCGAAAGUGUGGGGAGCAAACAGGAUUAGAAACCCGGGUAGUCC